RNAcentral lists this ribosomal RNA (1442 nucleotides) under Bacillus subtilis. RNAcentral's name for it is "bacterial SSU rRNA". It matches the Rfam family "Bacterial small subunit ribosomal RNA". The record is from RNAcentral. Lineage: Bacteria; Bacillati; Bacillota; Bacilli; Caryophanales; Bacillaceae.
UGGUUAGAUGCGGUCUAUCAUGCAGUCGAGCGGACAGAUGGGAGCUUGCUCCCUGAUGUUAGCGGCGGACGGGUGAGUAACACGUGGGUAACCUGCCUGUAAGACUGGGAUAACUCCGGGAAACCGGGGCUAAUACCGGAUGGUUGUUUGAACCGCAUGGUUCAAACAUAAAAGGUGGCUUCGGCUACCACUUACAGAUGGACCCGCGGCGCAUUAGCUAGUUGGUGAGGUAACGGCUCACCAAGGCAACGAUGCGUAGCCGACCUGAGAGGGUGAUCGGCCACACUGGGACUGAGACACGGCCCAGACUCCUACGGGAGGCAGCAGUAGGGAAUCUUCCGCAAUGGACGAAAGUCUGACGGAGCAACGCCGCGUGAGUGAUGAAGGUUUUCGGAUCGUAAAGCUCUGUUGUUAGGGAAGAACAAGUACCGUUCGAAUAGGGCGGUACCUUGACGGUACCUAACCAGAAAGCCACGGCUAACUACGUGCCAGCAGCCGCGGUAAUACGUAGGUGGCAAGCGUUGUCCGGAAUUAUUGGGCGUAAAGGGCUCGCAGGCGGUUUCUUAAGUCUGAUGUGAAAGCCCCCGGCUCAACCGGGGAGGGUCAUUGGAAACUGGGGAACUUGAGUGCAGAAGAGGAGAGUGGAAUUCCACGUGUAGCGGUGAAAUGCGUAGAGAUGUGGAGGAACACCAGUGGCGAAGGCGACUCUCUGGUCUGUAACUGACGCUGAGGAGCGAAAGCGUGGGGAGCGAACAGGAUUAGAUACCCUGGUAGUCCACGCCGUAAACGAUGAGUGCUAAGUGUUAGGGGGUUUCCGCCCCUUAGUGCUGCAGCUAACGCAUUAAGCACUCCGCCUGGGGAGUACGGUCGCAAGACUGAAACUCAAAGGAAUUGACGGGGCCCGCAUAAGCGUGGAGCAUGUGGUUUAAUUCGAAGCACGCGAAGACCCUACCAGGUCUGCUUACCAGGUCUUGACAUCCUCUGACAAUCCUAGAGAUAGGACGUCCCCUUCGGGGGCAGAGUGACAGGUGGUGCAUGGUUGUCGUCAGCUCGUGUCGUGAGAUGUUGGGUUAAGUCCCGCAACGAGCGCAACCCUUGAUCUUAGUUGCCAGCAUUCAGUUGGGCACUCUAAGGUGACUGCCGGUGACAAACCGGAGGAAGGUGGGGAUGACGUCAAAUCAUCAUGCCCCUUAUGACCUGGGCUACACACGUGCUACAAUGGACAGAACAAAGGGCAGCGAAACCGCGAGGUUAAGCCAAUCCCACAAAUCUGUUCUCAGUUCGGAUCGCAGUCUGCAACUCGACUGCGUGAAGCUGGAAUCGCUAGUAAUCGCGGAUCAGCAUGCCGCGGUGAAUACGUUCCCGGGCCUUGUACACACCGCCCGUCACACCACGAGAGUUUGUAACACCCGAAGUCGGUGAGGUAACCUUUUAGGCGCCAG